This 468-nucleotide ribosomal RNA is filed under the name uncultured bacterium. RNAcentral describes it as "partial 16S ribosomal RNA". It matches the Rfam family "Bacterial small subunit ribosomal RNA", at positions 28 to 507 of the family's 1533-position model. The record is from RNAcentral.
GACGAACGCUGGCGGCGUGCUUAACACAUGCAAGUCGAACGGAAAGGCCCUGCUUUUGUGGGGUGCUCGAGUGGCGAACGGGUGAGUAACACGUGAGUAACCUGCCCUUGACUUUGGGAUAACUUCAGGAAACUGGGGCUAAUACCGGAUAGGAGCUCCUGCUGCAUGGUGGGGGUUGGAAAGUUUCGGCGGUUGGGGAUGGACUCGCGGCUUAUCAGCUUGUUGGUGGGGUAGUGGCUUACCAAGGCUUUGACGGGUAGCCGGCCUGAGAGGGUGACCGGCCACAUUGGGACUGAGAUACCGCCCAGACUCCUACGGGAGGCAGCAGUGGGGAAUAUUGCACAAUGGGCGGAAGCCUGAUGCAGCAACGCCGCGUGCGGGAUGACGGCCUUCGGGUUUUAAACCGCUUUCGCCUGUGACGAAGCGUGAGUGACGGUAAUGGGUAAAGAAGCACCGGCUAACUACGUG